RNAcentral lists this ribosomal RNA (571 nucleotides) under Margalefidinium polykrikoides. RNAcentral describes it as "LSU rRNA". It matches the Rfam family "Eukaryotic large subunit ribosomal RNA", at positions 186 to 663 of the family's 3401-position model. The record is from RNAcentral. Lineage: Eukaryota; Dinophyceae; Gymnodiniales; Gymnodiniaceae.
CCUCUUGGAAGAGAGCGCCNGCNAGGGUGAGAGUCCCGUUCGUCAAUUUGCAGUCCUCCGUACACGGCUUGCACUUGUUGAGUCACGUUCCUCGGGAUUGGAGCGCAAAGUGGGUGGUAAAUUUCAUCUAAAGCUCAAUAUAUGUUUGAGACCGAUAGCACACAAGUACCAUGAGGGAAAGAUGAAAAGGACUUUGAAAAGAGAGUUAAAAGUGCCUGAAAUUGCUGCAAGGGAAGCGGAUGGAACCAGUCCGCGCGGUGAGAUUGUUGGGCGGAGCUGUGCGGAUUUGCACCUUCAACGAAAGUGAGGGUGCAAGUUUCAACCAUCCCUCGCCCGAUGGUUCUUGCCGUGGGGGUCAUUGGUGAUUAGCGUCCGAGGAUAACUGCAAAGGCAUGGUAGCCUGUCUCCGGAUGGGUGAACGCGUUUGUUAGCACUCGGCUGCUGAUCAUUUGGAGGUGUUCGGAAACCGUCGAGUAAACUUGCUUUCUCCGUGUGGGAUCGCAACGUUUGUUCGCGGGCCCUGACACACGUCUACGACCAAAUGGUUCUUUCCGACCCGUCUUGAAACACG